RNAcentral lists this ribosomal RNA (428 nucleotides) under uncultured bacterium. Its description in RNAcentral is "bacterial SSU rRNA". It matches the Rfam family "Bacterial small subunit ribosomal RNA", at positions 355 to 775 of the family's 1533-position model. The record is from RNAcentral.
UGGGGAAUAUUGGACAAUGGGCGCAAGCCUGAUCCAGCCAUGCCGCGUGAGUGAUGAAGGCCUUCGGGUCGUAAAGCUCUGUGGGGAGGGACGAAAGACGCCGACCUAAUACGUCGGCGGGUUGACGGUACCUCCUUAGCAAGCACCGGCUAACUCCGUGCCAGCAGCCGCGGUAAUACGGAGGGUGCAAACGUUGCUCGGAAUCAUUGGGCGUAAAGCGCACGUAGGCGGUUCGCUAAGUCGGGUGUGAAAGCCCUGGGCUCAACCCAGGAAGGGCACUCGAAACUGACGAGCUUGAGUACGGAAGGGGGUCUCGGAAUUCCCGGUGUAGAGGUGAAAUUCGUAGAUAUCGGGAGGAACACCAGUGGCGAAGGCGGAGACCUGGGCCGAUACUGACGCUGAGGUGCGAAAGCGUGGGGAGCAAACAG